This 437-nucleotide ribosomal RNA is filed under the name uncultured bacterium. RNAcentral describes it as "partial 16S ribosomal RNA". It matches the Rfam family "Bacterial small subunit ribosomal RNA", at positions 29 to 507 of the family's 1533-position model. The record is from RNAcentral.
AGCGAACGCUGGCGGCAGGCUUAACACAUGCAAGUCGAGCGGGCAUCCUUGUGGUGUCAGCGGCAGACGGGUGAGUAACGCGUGGGAACGUGCCCUUCGGUUCGGAAUAACUCAGGGAAACUUGAGCUAAUACCGGAUACGUGCGAGAGCAGAAAGGUUUAUCUGCCGAAGGAUCGGCCCGCGUCUGAUUAGCUAGUCGGUGAGGUUAUGGCUCACCAAGGCGACGAUCAGUAGCUGGUCUGAGAGGAUGAUCAGCCACACUGGGACUGAGACACGGCCCAGACUCCUACGGGAGGCAGCAGUGGGGAAUAUUGGACAAUGGGGGCAACCCUGAUCCAGCCAUGCCGCGUGAGUGAUGACGGCCUUAGGGUUGUAAAGCUCUUUUCUUCGGGACGAUAAUGACGGUACCGGAGGAAUAAGCCCCGGCUAACUUCGUG